RNAcentral lists this long non-coding RNA (161 nucleotides) under Pavo cristatus (Indian peafowl). RNAcentral's name for it is "lncRNA (ENSPSTG00000007456.1)". Lineage: Eukaryota; Metazoa; Chordata; Aves; Galliformes; Phasianidae. The record is from RNAcentral.
UGAAGCUCAAGAACGUGCUUGUAAAACAGCUGCUGCUUAGCAAUGUUUUUUCUUGGGUGAAUAUGCCAGAAUGUGGAUACAUACAUAGAACAGGCAGGGAGAAGAGUAAGAGUCCAGAACUGGAGAUGAAAUCCCUGCAGCAAAUAUGGACAGACCCUAGG